Molecule: ribosomal RNA, 484 nt
Filed under: uncultured bacterium
Lineage: Bacteria
Description: partial 16S ribosomal RNA
Rfam family: Bacterial small subunit ribosomal RNA
Source: RNAcentral
AUUGAACGCUGGCGGCAGGCCUAACACAUGCAAGUCGAGCGGAUGAAGGGAGCUUGCUCCUGGAUUCAGCGGCGGACGGGUGAGUAAUGCCUAGGAAUCUGCCUGGUAGUGGGGGAUAACGUCCGGACACGGGCGCUAAUACCGCAUACGUCCUGAGGGAGAAAGUGGGGGAUCUUCGGACCUCACGCUAUCAGAUGAGCCUAGGUCGGAUUAGCUAGUUGGUGGGGUAAAGGCCUACCAAGGCGACGAUCCGUAACUGGUCUGAGAGGAUGAUCAGUCACACUGGAACUGAGACACGGUGCAGACUCCUACGGGAGGCAGCAGUGGGGAAUAAUGGACAAUGGGCGAAAGCCUGAUCCAGCCAUGCCGCGUGUGUGAAGAAGGUCUUCGGAUUGUAAAGCACUUUAAGUUGGGAGGAAGGGCAGUAAGUUAAUACCUUGCUGUUUUGACGUUACCAACAGAAUAAGCACCGGCUAACUUCGUG